UAAACAGGAUUUCACUUAUAAAAAAAAUCGAAACUUUAUUUUUUCAAAUUGUAAAAAUUCCAGCCAGUUACGUCAAUAGUACCACUCCUCUUCAAAACGGGCAGUUCGUAACGGAACUGUUACAUUACCCAGUUAAAUUUGUAACCUGAUUUUAUCUCGUCUCCCGUCCAACUGACAGCCCUGAGUACUUUCGACUUUUCAAGUUAUCAAGUUACGUUUCUUGUACUUAUCCGGGACUUUAAAAUAAAACCCAUACAGGAAAAUCAAAUUCCGUAUUAGAAAAAAAAGACAAAAAAAUCUUGACAUGAAUCUGGUGUAGUAAUUUUGUCAUAAAAAUCCAAAAUGACAACCAAAAGUAGCAAGGGUGUUCGCCUGGAGACUGACAUUGAAAAAUGUCGGGAAGAAUCCAACUGGAAAAAAGUCAUCGAACUUUCAGACCAAUUAAAAUCGAAACACAGUAGUCAAGGUCCACUUUGUAACUUUCUUAUGGGAGAAGGUAAACUUGAAAUGUUUCUUGAAGAGUGCCCACCGCUUGAGUGCAAUGUAAACAAGGCAAAAGUUGGACUCUGUCCGGCGAAAAAAUGCUUACUUAUAGCAGCUGGCGAUCUAGGUGUAAAAGCUGGAGUCGCAUUGGACGCACAUCUUCUUUUGGGAAAACUGCAUUAUGCUACUGGGCAGUACGAAGACUCGUUGAAACACUACAUGGAGGCUGAUCUUCAGUCAUUAACAGAAAAAUCACUCCCAAGCAGAAGUUUAAGAAUUGUAGCUGAGUCUUAUGCAGUUAAAGGCCUAUGCCUUGAAAAGGUCCCUCCAUCUUCAACGUCCAAAUAUAAACAUGUUGAAUGGGAAGAGCAGAUGGUCAAAAGUUUUGAAUUAGCAAGUGAUUUGACUCUUCUUUAUCUUCAAGAGCAGGAUAAAAUCCAACAACAAAGUGUUAACACCGGCACUGGCACAGGAUCACAUUCACCACAGCCUGUGAGUCCAAGUUACCAUAUGGGCCCUAUAUUAGAAACAGCUCUCCAACGAGCUCCGCUCUUGCACAUUCUAGGUGGUCGCCUCAGUGCUGCAGUUUCGAGAUACAGGGGUAUGUUGUCAGCAGUUGAAUCCAGUGGUACGCACAGUUUAAGGUUGACUUUAGCGAGACAGUUAGCCGAGGUCUUAUUACGAGGGUUCACAGGAGCAAAAUACCACCCUCCUAAUAAUGGAGGGUCAAUCAACAAAAAAAUUGCUAGCUCAAGCCCUUGGAAACCUCGGGUGUACUCUGAGCCAAAUAUGUUUACACCAAAGAGCGAGUAUGAAGAAAUAAUUCUGCUUCUUCUCAUCAGUGAUGCAAUGGCAGGAAGAGAAGCUGUGUUGAGUCAGUCGCCUGAAUUUAAGGAAGCUCGAAUAAGAGCUUUAACAAAUGCGACUGCUGUUUAUGAUCUGCUGACUAUUGUUCUUGUUAGAUGGGGGCAAGUUGACUUGUUGCAUGAGUCUUUAGAGCGAGCAUUGAAGUUUUCAUAUGAAGAAACUCAUAUUUGGCUGCAAAGGGCUCUGUGCUUGGAAAGUUUAGGACAGUACAUACAAGGUUUCGCUGUGGCCAAAGAAGUUGCUCGUAUGCUGCCUAAUAAAGUUACUCCGUGCCUCUUAGCUGCUAAAAUAUGCUACCAACACUUAAACAAUACGACUGAAGGUAUGGAAUGGAGUGAGACAGCACUACAAAGGGAGUUAAAAAAUCCACAAGGGCUGACAUGUCGAUGUUACCUUUACUUAGGAAUAGGAGCACAUUAUGCUGCAAUAGUUACCCAUUUGAAAGAAAACAAGCAACGCCUUCACAACUUAGCCAUGGAUUCUUUCAUCAAAGCACAACAACUCGACCCAAAUGAUCAUCUCAUCGAGUAUUACAUUGGGUUGAGCCAUGCGAGCAAAGGUCAAGUUUCCGAAGCUGUGAAUCAUGUGAAGUUAGCUUUGAAAUUGUGUCCUGAACAUGCUCCAUCAUUGCAUUUAAUGGUCCUUCUGCUAACAGCGCAAAAACAGUACUCCGAAGCUUACAGUUUUUUGCAAUCAGCGCUAUUGGAUUUUCCAGACAGUCUCGAUUUGCAUUACGUCAAAGCCUAUAUUGAAUUGCAUACUUUAGGUGGAGAUGUCGCUCUAUCAACUGCGAAAAAUAUGCUUAUUUUAUGGAAGUUCCAAUAUGAGGAUCAAACGCUCAUAGAACAGGCUGACAAUAAAAGUGUAUUCCAAUUAUACACAUCUGAAAUGUCUGAUAAAGAUUCAAGCUCCCUUCAUGCUCAUUCAGUCGCUGCUUCAAGAGUUGAACAGGCUCUAUCUGAAGUGGCGUCAUCUUUGUCAACAUUCACCCCUAAGCCAGGACCGCAGCGAGCUUGGCUCCUUCAGUUACAGAUAUGGCUUUUGCUCGCUGAACUUUAUCUUUCUAUGGAACAAAUUGCCUCUGCUGCUUCCUGCAUACAGGAAGCCACCAGUAUUUAUCCUCUCUCACACCACAUCAUGUACAUUAGGGGACUUGUACAUGAACAGAAACACGAGUUUGCAGAAGCGAGGCAGUGUUUUCACAAUGCGGUUUCAAUAAAUCCUUCCCAUAUUAAAAGUUUGCAACAUUUAAGGUGAGCCUGCAGUCCACUAAUAAUUCCAGCUUGUAUAAUAAAUUACUGCCUCAAGAAUCACCCAUCCUAGUGUUGGCAGUACGGGUCAGACCUUGGUCUUGCCCAUCCACUCACCGAGGUUGGGCUUCAGGGGCUAUCAACAGCUAGAUCAUUUCUGCAAGCAGUCUCCAAAUCCAAAUGGACUCAUGUACCAUUAUUUAGGGAAUCAGCGAAUGGCUGAAAAAAUAUUGAGGGAUGCAGCUAGAAUAGAUCCAUUUGCACCAGUUAC
RNAcentral lists this unclassified non-coding RNA (2871 nucleotides) under Cimex lectularius (bed bug). Its description in RNAcentral is "tetratricopeptide repeat protein 7B, transcript variant X2". Lineage: Eukaryota; Metazoa; Arthropoda; Insecta; Hemiptera; Cimicidae. The record is from RNAcentral.